AACGAACGCUGGCGGCGCGCCUAAUACAUGCAAGUCGAGCGAGAAGGUGUAGCAAUACACUUGUAAAGCGGCGAACGGGUGAGGAAUACAUGGGUAACCUACCCUCGAGUGGGGAAUAACUAGCCGAAAGGUUAGCUAAUACCGCAUACGAUUCCAGGACUUCGGUCCUGGAAGGAAAGCACUACCGUGGGUAGUGCGCUCCUGGAUGGGCUCAUGUCCUAUCAGCUUGNGGUGAGGUAAAGGCUCACCAAGGCUUCGACGGGUAGCUGGUCUGAGAGGACGAUCAGCCACACUGGCACUGCGACACGGGCCAGACUCCUACGGGAGGCAGCAGUAAGGAAUAUUGCGCAAUGGGCGAAAAGCCUGACGCAGCGACGCCGCGUGGGGGAUGAAGGUCUUCGG
This 402-nucleotide ribosomal RNA is filed under the name uncultured bacterium. Its description in RNAcentral is "bacterial SSU rRNA". It matches the Rfam family "Bacterial small subunit ribosomal RNA", at positions 29 to 421 of the family's 1533-position model. The record is from RNAcentral.